ACCUGGUUGAUCCUGCCAGUAGUCAUAUGCUUGUCUCAAAGAUUAAGCCAUGCAUGUCUACGUAUAAGCUUUUAUACGGCGAAACUGCAAGGGGCUCAUUAAAACAGUUACGGUUUAUUUGACAGUCAAUGUACUACAUGGAUAACCGUGGUAAUUCUGUGGCUAACACAUGCGCAAAUACUAUGUCACUUGAAAAUAUAGUAGUGUUUAUUAGAUACAAAAACAAUACACCUCUCACGAUGUAGAAAAAGGUGAUUCAUAGUAACCGAACGGAUCGCAUUAGAAUCACUUCGGUGAUUGGCGAUAGAUCAUUCAAGUUUCUGACCUAUCAGCUUUCGACGGUAGUGUAUUGGACUACCGUGGCAGUGACGGGUAACGGGGAGUUAGGGUUCGAUUCCGGAGAGGCAGCCUGAGAAACGGCUACCACAUCUAAGGAAGGCAGCAGGCGCGCAAAUUACCCAAUCCUGACUCAGGGAGGUAGUGACAAGAAAUAACAACACUGGAAAUUCUAUUUCUAGUGAUUGGAAUGAUGGGAAUCCAAACCCCUUUCAGAGUAACAAUUGGAGGGCAAGUCUGGUGCCAGCAGCCGCGGUAAUUCCAGCUCCAAUAGCGUAUGUUAAAGUUGUUGCAGUUAAAAAGUUCGUAGUUGGAUAUCUGCUGGAAGCAAUCAGUCCGCCCUUUUAGUGAGGGUGUGUACUUGAUGAAUUCUGGCAUGAUUAUCUUCCCAGUAAUAAUAUUAUUAUAUUAGGUUGAUUCCUAAUAUGGUAAUAAUUAUUUUUGGGAAGACAGUUACUUUGAGAAAAUUAGAGUGUUUGAAGCAGGCUUGUUGCCUUGAAUACUGCAGCAUGGAAUAACAAUAUAGGAUUCCGGUUCUAUUUUGUUGGUUUCUAGGACUGAAAUAAUGAUUAAUAGGGACAGUUGGGGGCAUUCGUAUUUAACUGUCAGAGGUGAAAUUCUUAGAUUUGUUAAAGACGAACUACUGCGAAAGCAUUUGCCAAAGAUGUUUUCAUUAAUCAAGAACGAAAGUUAGGGGCUCGAAGACGAUCAG
Molecule: ribosomal RNA, 1048 nt
Filed under: Sarcocystis fusiformis
Lineage: Eukaryota; Apicomplexa; Conoidasida; Eucoccidiorida; Sarcocystidae
Description: bacterial SSU rRNA
Rfam family: Eukaryotic small subunit ribosomal RNA
Source: RNAcentral